Molecule: ribosomal RNA, 206 nt
Filed under: uncultured bacterium
Lineage: Bacteria
Description: partial 16S ribosomal RNA
Rfam family: Bacterial small subunit ribosomal RNA
Source: RNAcentral
AGAUCGCAGUCUGCAACUCGACUGCGUGAAGUCGGAAUCGCUAGUAAUCGCGGAUCAGCAUGCCGCGGUGAAUACGUUCCCGGGCCUUGUACACACCGCCCGUCACACCAUGAGAGUCGGGAACACCCGAAGCCCGUAGCCUAACAGCAAUGAGGGCGCGGUCGAAGGUGGGUUCGAUAAUUGGGGUGAAGUCGUAACAAGGUAGC